RNAcentral lists this ribosomal RNA (498 nucleotides) under uncultured bacterium. Its description in RNAcentral is "partial 16S ribosomal RNA". It matches the Rfam family "Bacterial small subunit ribosomal RNA", at positions 28 to 507 of the family's 1533-position model. The record is from RNAcentral.
GACGAACGCUGGCGGCGUGCCUAAUACAUGCCAGUCGAGCGGACGAAUCGAAAGCUUGCUUUUGAUUCGUUAGCGGCGGACGGGUGAGUAACACGUGGGCAACCUGCCCUGUAGACGGGGAUAACACCGAGAAAUCGGUGCUAAUACCGGAUAACACGAAAUGUCGCAUGACGUUUCGUUUAAAGACGGCGCAAGCUGUCGCUACAGGAUGGGCCCGCGGCGCAUUAGCUAGUUGGUGAGGUAACGGCUCACCAAGGCGACGAUGCGUAGCCGACCUGAGAGGGUGAUCGGCCACACUGGGACUGAGACACGGCACAGACUCCUACGGGAGGCAGCAGUAGGGAAUCUUCAGAAAUGGACGAAAGUAUGACGGAGCAACGCCGCGUGAGCGAAGAAGGCCUUCGGGUCGUAAAGCUCUGUUGUUAGGGAAGAACAAGUAACGCAGUAACUGGCGUUACCGUGACGGUACCUAACGAGAAAGCCACGGCUAACUACGUG